Molecule: ribosomal RNA, 433 nt
Filed under: uncultured bacterium
Lineage: Bacteria
Description: partial 16S ribosomal RNA
Rfam family: Bacterial small subunit ribosomal RNA
Source: RNAcentral
AACGAACGCUGGCGGCAUGCCUAACACAUGCAAGUCGAACGAGACCUUCGGGUCUAGUGGCGCACGGGUGCGUAACGCGUGGGAACCUGCCCUUAGGUUCGGAAUAACUCCCCGAAAGGGGUGCUAAUACCGGAUAAUGUCUUCGGACCAAAGAUUUAUCGCCUUUGGAUGGGCCCGCGUUGGAUUAGCUAGUUGGUAGGGUAAAAGCCUACCAAGGCGACGAUCCAUAGCUGGUCUGAGAGGAAGAUCAGCCACUCUGGGACUGAGACACGGCCCAGACUCCUACGGGAGGCAGCAGUGGGGAAUAGUGGACAACGGGCGGAGGCCUGAUCCAGCAAGGCCGCGUGAGUGAUGAAGGCCUGAGGGUUGUAAAGCGCUUUUACCCGUGAUGAUAAUGACAGUACCGGGAGAAUAAGCUCCGGCUAACUCCGUG